CUCAAGAGUGAUGAAUGCCUGGCGUGAGGGCUGAAAGUACGAACCAAAAGCAGAGACAUGAAAUGGGAGACAAGAAGGAAACAUUCUGCUGACUUCACCGUUUUCUUGGAGAGCUGAGCAGCUGGAAGUCAGAAGAGGCAAAGGCACAAUGAAACAGCCAGCAACUGCUGAAUAGAAGCCAAACCUUUUCUCCUGAGCUGUACCGCUGUACCUUCCUCCCUGGAGUCUCUCUCCUCCUCCAUACAUUUGGUUUAUAAACACCUUCUGCUUUCUGCAUGAGCUCAGAGCCAGGCCAGCCCUUCUUUCCCUUUCUCAUGGUAGGCCUUCUGCUUUGCUGUGUCUGCUCUUUGCUUUGAGGGUCCCCGUUGUCUCUUGCCAGUUGCCUGUGUUUUCUAUGCUGUUUGGAAGUAAAAGACAGACAGACAGGAAGCCAUCAGCCAUGCCUCCAAAAGGGAAAUCUGGUUUUCAUAUAGGACACCAAGCAGCUGGGGUGGCAUCCAGGCACCUGGGCUCUGAGUCCCCUGCUUCUGGUGCCCAGGUGUGAUGUGUUGCUGGCUGCCUCCUGGCUUUUGAUCACUGCUCUGCAGCACCACAGCUUUCCCAACACUUCUCGAGCAGACUGUGAUUUAAAUGGCCCUUCCCUCAGCCUUGUGCAUACCCUGAUAACACACAGCGCUGGUGCAGUCCACCAGGAGCCUCUCAGAUGAAUCACUGCCCAAGGAAAUGGUGCUUUCAACCAGGCCACUCCUCCAAAGCUACACAAGUAUGCGUGUAAAUCUUCAAAUCCAGUCUUGUAUUUGCGUCAUUCAAAAAUGCGUGAUCACAGUGCUGUACUGGAUUGAAAGCAAGAAACCCUUCACCAGGUGCAAACCCUCAGUCUUGGACUUUCCAGAGAAGGCAAAAGAGAAGCUAACUGCCCAGUGAGCAGAGCGGAUGGUCCCUCGAUUCCAGGGAGUCAGGAUGUUGUGUCUCCUCUCCCAGGUCUCUUCUCCCUCACACUGAUGUCCUUCAGUCGAGCUAAGCAAGAACAUCCAACAAACCAAGGCAGCGGAGCAUGCAUGUGUGUAGGUGGAAAGAAUGACCUUUUCUAUGUCCUGCCCAACCUUCAAAGAUGCUCUUAAAUGGCAUGCCCCAGCUGCUGGCAUGCAUUUGGAAAAGCAACUCAAAGCUAACUGCUUGCCCCUGGAAUCCCAUUUAUCCAGAAAAAUUCAAA
Mus musculus (house mouse) is the source of this 1213-nucleotide long non-coding RNA. RefSeq annotates it as predicted gene, 53529. Lineage: Eukaryota; Metazoa; Chordata; Mammalia; Rodentia; Muridae. The transcript is spliced from 3 exons. The record is from RefSeq and is a predicted model, not a curated record.